UUUAACAGCACAGGAAGUGUUACAUUCCAAAUACAAUUGGUGAAAAGGAUAAAAUUCCAGCAUAAAUCUUUUGAAAAGUGCAAUUGCUGUCAACUCCAAAAGUACAUCCCCUUAGGAUAUAGCUGGGACAGAGAAGUUGCCCAAUCCUGGUCAGUGUCCAUCUGCCAUUCAGUGUCAGUCACCUGUGACCUGCUGACUUUCAUACUUAAUCCUUGUUUUUGCCUACUGUUCUACAUUGAGUUCAAAACAAAGUUGGGAAAGCCUUGAAGAAAAUUGCAGGCAAGGAAGCAAACCUGAGAGAGAAAGAUGCUUACAGCGCAAAGGAGGCGGUGUGGCAUCCAGGUGACUUGCUCCAGCUUGGCUGAUGUCAGUACACUGAAGUGCUCUAAACUGAGGAACAUGGAACAGAUCAGAGGAAAGGAGAGAAACUUGAGCUAUUUCCGGUAACAUCGAAAAGUGUGAAACAGGGAUAAAAGGUGUGAAAGACCUACCUGUGCACUGAAGACUACUGAGCAUUGCCGAACAAAUUUAAGGAAGAGCCUCCAAAGUGAAGACGUACACCAUGUUCACAGGUCAGUUGAGUCACUACAAUCCUGAUCAAAAUUCUGGCAGACUCAUUUGUAGAAAUUGACAAGUUGAUCUUAAAGUUCAUAUGAAAAUUCGAAGGAGCUAGAAGAGCAAAAUAAAAAACCUUGAAAAAGAAGAGCA
RNAcentral lists this long non-coding RNA (708 nucleotides) under Felis catus (domestic cat). RNAcentral's name for it is "lncRNA (ENSFCAG00000052218.1)". The record is from RNAcentral. Lineage: Eukaryota; Metazoa; Chordata; Mammalia; Carnivora; Felidae.